This 634-nucleotide ribosomal RNA is filed under the name uncultured bacterium. RNAcentral describes it as "bacterial SSU rRNA". The stretch from base 1 to 539 matches the Rfam family "Bacterial small subunit ribosomal RNA", at positions 338 to 873 of the family's 1533-position model. The record is from RNAcentral.
CCUACGGGAGGCAGCAGUGGGGAAUAUUGGACAAUGGGCGAAAGCCUGAUCCAGCGACGCCGCGUGGGUGAAGAAGGCCUUCGGGUUGUAAAGCCCUUUAAGCCGGGACGAAAAAGCUAGACCUAAUACGUCUGGCCUUGACGGUACCGGAAGAAUAAGCACCGGCUAACUCUGUGCCAGCAGCCGCGGUAAUACAGAGGGUGCAAGCGUUAAUCGGAUUUACUGGGCGUAAAGCGUGUGUAGGUGGCUACCUAAGUCGAUUGUGAAAUCCCUGGGCUCAACCUGGGAAUUGCAGUCGAUACUGGGCAGCUCGAGUUCGGUAGAGGGUGACGGAAUUCCCGGUGUAGCGGUGAAAUGCGUAGAUAUCGGGAGGAACAUCGAUGGCGAAGGCAAUCACCUGGGCCUGAACUGACACUGUGACACGAAAGCGUGGGUAGCAAACAGGAUUAGAUACCCUGGUAGUCCACGCCGUAAACGAUGGGAACCUGACGUCGGUCUGCUCUGGCGNGUCGUGUCGUAGCUACGCGCUACGUCCCGUCCGUCGGGAGGUACGGCCGCGAGGUUAGGUAAACGUUAAAGGUAAAGUUAGUUACGGUCGUUGAGACGUUGCCGACGGCGACGACGAGGGAGGAGG